AGUGAACGCUGGCGGCGUGCCUAAUACAUGCAAGUCGAACGAAGUGGCGCACGGGUGAGUAAUAUAUAGUUAAUCUGCCCUCCACAGAGGAACAACAGUUUGAAACGCCUGCUAAUACCUCAUAGUGUAGGAUGAGACUAUAUCGUAUCAGCUAGUUGGUAAGGUAAUGGCUUACCAAGGCUAUGACGCGUAAGUGGUCUGAGAGGAUGAUCAGUCACAUUGGAACUGAGACACGGUGCAAACACCGACGGGAGGCAGCAGUAAGGAAUAUGGCGCAAGGGGGGAAACCCUGACGCAGCAACGCGGCGUGGAGUAUGACACUUUUCGGAGCGUAAACUACUUUUAUCAGGAAAGCGGUACCUGAUGAAUAAGCACCGGCUAACUACGUGCCAGCAGCCGCGGUAAUUC
This 408-nucleotide ribosomal RNA is filed under the name uncultured bacterium. RNAcentral describes it as "partial 16S ribosomal RNA". It matches the Rfam family "Bacterial small subunit ribosomal RNA", at positions 29 to 526 of the family's 1533-position model. The record is from RNAcentral.